Molecule: ribosomal RNA, 626 nt
Filed under: uncultured beta proteobacterium
Lineage: Bacteria; Pseudomonadati; Pseudomonadota; Betaproteobacteria
Description: bacterial SSU rRNA
Rfam family: Bacterial small subunit ribosomal RNA
Source: RNAcentral
GGGUGCUUGCACCUGGUGGCGAGUGGCGAACGGGUGAGUAAUACCUAGGAACAUGUCCAGUAGUGGGGGAUAACGCAGCGAAAGCUGUGCUAAUACCGCAUACGCCCUACGGGGGAAAGCGGGGGAUUCGCAAGGACCUCGCGUUAUUGGAGUGGCCUAGGCCUGAUUAGCUAGUUGGUGAGGUAAAGGCUCACCAAGGCGACGAUCAGUAGCUGGUCUGAGAGGAUGAUCAGCCACACUGGAACUGAGACACGGUCCAGACUCCUACGGGAGGCAGCAGUGGGGAAUUUUGGACAAUGGGGGAAACCCUGAUCCAGCCAUUCCGCGUGAGUGAAGAAGGCCUUCGGGUUGUAAAGCUCUUUCAGCAGGGAAGAAACGGUUGCAGCUAAUACCUGCGACUAAUGACGGUACCUGAAGAAGAAGCACCGGCUAACUACGUGCCAGCAGCCGCGGUAAUACGUAGGGUGCGAGCGUUAAUCGGAAUUACUGGGCGUAAAGCGUGCGCAGGCGGUUUUGCAAGUCAGAUGUGAAAGCCCCGGGCUCAACCUGGGAACUGCGUUUGAAACUGCAAGGCUAGAGUGUAGCAGAGGGGGGUGGAAUUCCACGUGUAGCGGUGAAAUGCGUAG